RNAcentral lists this unclassified non-coding RNA (277 nucleotides) under plant metagenome. Its description in RNAcentral is "partial contains small subunit ribosomal RNA, internal transcribed spacer 1, and 5.8S ribosomal RNA". The record is from RNAcentral.
CCUUCUUCACACUUUUUCCUUAGGUGAACCUGCGGAAGGAUCAUUAUUGUAUAACCGAGGUGCGAGGGCUGUCGCUGACCCGAAAGGUCGUGCACGCCCGAGUGCCCUCACACACAUCCAUCUCACCCCUAUGUGCACCACCGCGUGGGUCCCCCUUUGGCUUGUUCGGAGGGGGGCUUACGUUUUCACACAAACUUUGUAUGCAGUGUAGAAUGUAUUUUUUGUUUUUGCGAUCACGCAAUCAAUACAACUUUCAACAACGGAUCUCUUGGCUCUC